GACGAACGCUGGCGGCGUGCUUAACACAUGCAAGUCGAACGGUAAGGCCCUUCGGGGUACACGAGUGGCGAACGGGUGAGUAACACGUGGGUGAUCUGCCCUGCACUUCGGGAUAAGCCUGGGAAACUGGGUCUAAUACCGGAUAGGACCACUGCCUGCAUGGGUGGUGGUGGAAAGCUUUUGCGGUGUGGGAUGGGCCCGCGGCCUAUCAGCUUGUUGGUGGGGUGAUGGCCUACCAAGGCGACGACGGGUAGCCGGCCUGAGAGGGUGACCGGCCACACUGGGACUGAGAUACGGCCCAGACUCCUACGGGAGGCAGCAGUGGUGAAUAUUGCACAAUGGGCGCAAGCCUGAUGCAGCGACGCCGCGUGAGGGAUGACGGCCUUCGGGUUGUAAACCUCUUUCAGCACCGACGAAGCGCAAGUGACGGUAGGUGCAGAAGAAGGACCGGCCAGCUACGUGCCAGCAGCCGCGGUAA
RNAcentral lists this ribosomal RNA (478 nucleotides) under uncultured bacterium. RNAcentral describes it as "partial 16S ribosomal RNA". It matches the Rfam family "Bacterial small subunit ribosomal RNA", at positions 28 to 523 of the family's 1533-position model. The record is from RNAcentral.